RNAcentral lists this long non-coding RNA (479 nucleotides) under Homo sapiens (human). Its description in RNAcentral is "HSALNT0006388". Lineage: Eukaryota; Metazoa; Chordata; Mammalia; Primates; Hominidae. The record is from RNAcentral.
CCGCGCCUGAAGCUCAACUUCCGAGGCUCUCAUCAAUCUACGCUUCCUUUGGAGCGUGCAGCCACCAGGUGGCAGCCGAGGCCACGGGCAGACAGAAAAGCUCCCGAAACUGAAGGACUGCCAGGCAGCAGAGUUCCGGAGGGCUCCCAGGACCUUCAACCAGAAAGAGACAGAGCAUAUGCGCAUAUGCCUGCAAGGAAUGUACUAUAGAGCCAAUUUUACCGGCAAAGGAAUGGAAGAUCUGAAAGGCUAGGCGAUCCCACAAGCAUCGAGGAGCAGGCUGGAAUUUGAACCAAUCGGCAUGAUUCCCAAGCUCAAGCUUUUGGCCACCCCUGCACUGCCAGGGACAAAAAAAAAAAAAAAAAAAAACCCUGGGAGGAGAGCCAAGCUAGGGAGUCAAGACCCUCCAGCCAGGUCUGGAUGGGAGGCAGGUGCCUCCACCCUGGUCCCAGAGCAAGUUCUGCUGGCUUCAGCCACCU